ACAAACUCAGACACACGUGACCCUCAGCACUUCUUCCGGUGUCUGCUCUCUAUACUGGCUCGCGAACGGAAAAUCGGACUGCGCGCGCACCAAACGCUAGCUAGUCAAGGUCCCCAUGUCUGCCGUUUAUGCAAUAACUAAUCCUGGCCCCCUCCAUUUCUUUCAAUCUGGAGCCCUGCACCCCUCAAACCACCAAUCUUUAUUUACAAUUAAUCUGUAAACGUGCUAUAGAAGCUAU
This is a non-coding RNA of Pelobates cultripes (western spadefoot toad), 238 nucleotides long. Lineage: Eukaryota; Metazoa; Chordata; Amphibia; Anura; Pelobatidae. The record is from the annotation of a GenBank genome assembly.